Molecule: long non-coding RNA, 142 nt
Organism: Onychomys torridus (southern grasshopper mouse)
Lineage: Eukaryota; Metazoa; Chordata; Mammalia; Rodentia; Cricetidae
Exons: 4
Source: RefSeq, a predicted model, not a curated record
GCAGAAAGAUCUGCAAAAAUACCAAAAGUUUCCAAAGAUGCAUCAGCUUCAAAGAAAGACAAAGAAGAUUCCAAAGACACACCAGCUUUAAAGAAAGACAAAGAAGUAACUGAUGAUAUACCUUCCCCAAAGAAGCAAAAAA